UGGCGGCAGGCUUAACACAUGCAAGUCGAGCGGUAGCAGAUCUAGCUUGCUAGAUGCUGACGAGCGGCGGACGGGUGAGUAACGCGUAGGAACCUGCCCAGUAGUGGGGGAUAGCCCGGGGAAACUCGGAUUAAUACCGCAUACGCUCUACGGAGGAAAGAGGGGGCCUCGGCUCUCGCUAUUGGAUGGGCCUGCGUGAGAUUAGCUAGUUGGUGAGGUAAUGGCUCACCAAGGCGACGAUCUCUAGCUGGUCUGAGAGGAUGAUCAGCCACACUGGGACUGAGACACGGCCCAGACUCCUACGGGAGGCAGCAGUGGGGAAUAUUGCACAAUGGGCGCAAGCCUGAUGCAGCCAUGCCGCGUGUGUGAAGAAGGCUUUCGGGUUGUAAAGCACUUUCAGUGGGGAGGAAGGCCUCGUAGUUAAUAGCUGCGAGGAUUGACGUUACCCACAGAAGAAGCACCGGCUAACUCCGUG
RNAcentral lists this ribosomal RNA (475 nucleotides) under uncultured bacterium. Its description in RNAcentral is "bacterial SSU rRNA". It matches the Rfam family "Bacterial small subunit ribosomal RNA", at positions 37 to 507 of the family's 1533-position model. The record is from RNAcentral.